Molecule: ribosomal RNA, 261 nt
Filed under: uncultured archaeon
Lineage: Archaea
Description: partial 16S ribosomal RNA
Rfam family: Archaeal small subunit ribosomal RNA
Source: RNAcentral
CAGCCGUAAACUAUGCGCGUUAGGUGUAUCGGUGACCACGAGUCACCGAGGUGCCGAAGGGAAACCGUGAAACGUGCCGCCUGGGAAGUACGGUCGCAAGGCUGAAACUUAAAGGAAUUGGCGGGGGAGCACCACAACAGGGUGGAGCCUGCGGUUUAAUUGGACUCAACGCCGGGAAGCUCACCGGAUAGGACAGCAGAAUGAUUGCCGGGCUGAAGACUCUGCAUGACUAGCUGAGAGGAGGUGCAUGGCGUAGACGUC